Molecule: long non-coding RNA, 341 nt
Filed under: Homo sapiens (human)
Lineage: Eukaryota; Metazoa; Chordata; Mammalia; Primates; Hominidae
Description: HSALNT0006234
Source: RNAcentral
GUGAUGUUGUGGUUGGUGAAAACUGGUUGUGAUGAUUCUUCUCUGACUGUGGGUAUGAACAUUGGGCCUUUCAUGUCUUGCAAAGAGGCCCAAAGGGAUCUCCCUCUACCUGCUGGAACCAAGGCUCAGAGCUCAUAUGCUUGGAGGCAGGAAUUGCUGAAUAGUUCCAAACUUCUGAGCUUAGGGACAAGUCACCCUUAUUCCCACAGCUUUGCACAGUCAGAUGACUGCAGUGACCAGAUAGAGGAAAUAGAGGCAUCAUGUGGUGGCAUUUCUUCCUGACUCUGGUGGCCCCUGCUGUUCAUUAUACAGAGAAAUUGCUGCCAUGCAGCUAGUUUUCA